Molecule: ribosomal RNA, 468 nt
Filed under: uncultured bacterium
Lineage: Bacteria
Description: partial 16S ribosomal RNA
Rfam family: Bacterial small subunit ribosomal RNA
Source: RNAcentral
GACGAACGCUGGCGGCGUGCUUAACACAUGCAAGUCGAACGGAAAGGCCCUGCUUUUGUGGGGUGCUCGAGUGGCGAACGGGUGAGUAACACGUGAGUAACCUGCCCUUGACUUUGGGAUAACUUCAGGAAACUGGGGCUAAUACCGGAUAGGAGCUCCUGCUGCAUGGUGGGGGUUGGAAAGUUUCGGCGGUUGGGGAUGGACUCGCGGCUUAUCAGCUUGUUGGUGGGGUAGUGGCUUACCAAGGCUUUGACGGGUAGCCGGCCUGAGAGGGUGACCGGGCACAUUUGGACUGGGGUACGGCCCAGACUCCUACGGGAGGCAAGAGGGGGGAAUAAUGCACAAUGGGCGGAAGCCUGAUGCAGCAACGCCGGGGGGGGGAUGACGGCCUUCGGGUUGUAAACCGCUUUCGCCUGUGACGAAGCGUGAGUGACGGUAAUGGGUAAAGAAGCACCGGCUAACUACGUG